Long non-coding RNA from Lagopus leucura (white-tailed ptarmigan), 452 nucleotides. RefSeq lists it as uncharacterized. The record is from RefSeq and is a predicted model, not a curated record. The transcript has 3 exons. Lineage: Eukaryota; Metazoa; Chordata; Aves; Galliformes; Phasianidae.
UGGAGUUUUCUCAGUGAGCCCAGGACAAAGAUGCCCUUCCGCUGCUUUUUGCUGUUGGAGAUGAGGGUGGCAGUGGCCUUCACACCAAGCAUGGAAGGUCCAAUCUGUAUUCAUGGCUGACAUUUGGGAGAGGGAAGAGAGAGAGAGAGAGAAAGGUUCCACCUCUCCAGUGAUACUCCCAGGAAGCCAGUGAGAGCUGAGAUUUCAUCUGCAUGGAAAUUACGGUAGAGAAAGGGCCAGGAGCAGCCACCGGGUCUGGCUGUGCUCCAUUGGGGAGAGGCUGGAAAGAAGAGGAUGCUUUAGCCCUUGACUGCCACUUAUUCCAGCACUGGAGAAAAUAAAAAUAAAAAUGCUGAAACGAUUAAUAAAAAAAAAUAUACUAAACCAUGGCAGAAGACUGCCUGGGAGGUCGGGCUUUUUGUAUUAACUCAGCAGAUCAUUUAUUUAUUUAU